GACGAACGCUGGCGGCGUGCCUAAUACAUGCAAGUCGAACGCAGUGGGGACGGGUGAGUAACACGUGGGUAACCUCCCAUCAGAGGGGAUAACCCUUGGAAACAGGUGCUAAACCGAUACGGGUGGAUGUACACGCGGUGCAUUCGCUAGUUGGUGAGGUAACGGCUCACCAAGGCCACGAUGCAGAGCCGACCUGAGAGGGGGACCGGCCACACUGGGACUGAGACACGGUCCAGACUCCUACGGGAGGCAGCAGUAGGGAAUAUUCGGCAAUGGACGAAAGUCUGACCGAGCAACGCCGCGUGAGUGAAGAAGGCUUUCGGAUCGUAAAACGCUGUUGUUAGAGAAGCGGUAUCUAAACAGAAAGCAACGGCUAACUACGUGCCAGCAGCCGCGGUAAUUC
RNAcentral lists this ribosomal RNA (403 nucleotides) under uncultured bacterium. RNAcentral's name for it is "partial 16S ribosomal RNA". It matches the Rfam family "Bacterial small subunit ribosomal RNA", at positions 28 to 526 of the family's 1533-position model. The record is from RNAcentral.